UACGGGGGGGGGCAAGCGUUGUUCGGAUUUACUGGGCGUAAAGGGCGCGUAGGCGGCGUGACAAGUCACUUGUGAAAUCUCCGGGCUUAACUCGGAACGGUCAAGUGAUACUGUCGUGCUAGAGUACAGAAGGGGCAACUGGAAUUCUCGGUGUAGCGGUGAAAUGCGUAGAUAUCGAGAGGAACACCUGCGGCGAAGGCGGGUUGCUGGGCUGAUACUGACGCUGAGGAGCGAAAGCGUGGGGAGCGAACGGG
This 254-nucleotide ribosomal RNA is filed under the name uncultured bacterium. RNAcentral's name for it is "partial 16S ribosomal RNA". It matches the Rfam family "Bacterial small subunit ribosomal RNA", at positions 524 to 776 of the family's 1533-position model. The record is from RNAcentral.